This is a long non-coding RNA of Anas platyrhynchos (mallard), 578 nucleotides long. RefSeq lists it as uncharacterized. Lineage: Eukaryota; Metazoa; Chordata; Aves; Anseriformes; Anatidae. The record is from RefSeq and is a predicted model, not a curated record.
CAGGUGGUCAUGAGGGUGCUCCACAGGGUUACAGAGUAUAAUAUCCUGAAUGCUCAGUACUUCCACACAGCCAUGUUAAAUCAGUGAAUACUCGGAAGUUAUCUCCUGUAGAAUACUCUUGACUCCAGCCAUCUAUAGACUCAACAUUGUAUAGACAUGCUAAAGAGUUUCCUCAUAGACCUCCCAGAAGAGAGCAUCUCUGAUCUGCUUGGUGGGCUUUACAUGUUGUCUCCAUGUAGAGAUUCUCCAGAUCAUUACACAGGUUAGCUCUCCCCCUGCUUGCCCACCAGUCACAGGAUUCAAACAAUGAGCUUCAAAUUAUGCUGAGAAUAAAUGGAGAUAAACAGCAAGCCCAAGGAGACAAAUAAGACGAACACCUUGAAGAAGAACCAGUAAGUGAAAUAGGAUGUGACAGGCUCAGGAAGAUGAGAGGGAAUGAUUUCCUGGAAUGCAGCAGCAAUUUCGUGCCAGUAGCGAUGUGCCGGCUGUACUUGACCUUCAGUAACCUUUAUCCCCAUCUCCUACUGCUGCUCCUACAGCUUCUCAGCCUGGUUCUCUCCUUUGCUGCUGUUCUUGCA